CAGCUCGUGUCGUGAGAGUGUUGGGUUAAGUCCCGCAACGAGCGCAACCCUUGUCAUUAGUUGCUACGAAAGGGCACUCUAAUGAGACUGCCGGUGACAAACCGGAGGAAGGUGGGGAUGACGUCAAGUCCUCAUGGCCCUUAUAGGUGGGGCUACACACGUCAUACAAUGGCUGGUACAAAGGGUUGCCAACCCGCGAGGGGGAGCCAAUCCCAUAAAGCCAGUCGUAGUCCGGAUCGCAGUCUGCAACUCGACUGCGUGAAGUCGGAAUCGCUAGUAAUCGUGGAUCAGCAUGUCACGGUGAAUACGUUCCCGGGUCUU
This 321-nucleotide ribosomal RNA is filed under the name uncultured Hydrogenophaga sp. RNAcentral's name for it is "bacterial SSU rRNA". It matches the Rfam family "Bacterial small subunit ribosomal RNA", at positions 1056 to 1382 of the family's 1533-position model. Lineage: Bacteria; Pseudomonadati; Pseudomonadota; Betaproteobacteria; Burkholderiales; Comamonadaceae. The record is from RNAcentral.